RNAcentral lists this ribosomal RNA (497 nucleotides) under uncultured bacterium. RNAcentral describes it as "partial 16S ribosomal RNA". It matches the Rfam family "Bacterial small subunit ribosomal RNA", at positions 28 to 507 of the family's 1533-position model. The record is from RNAcentral.
GAUGAACGCUGGCGGCGUGCCUAAUACAUGCAAGUCGAGCGAACGGACGAGAAGCUUGCUUCUCUGAUGUUAGCGGCGGACGGGUGAGUAACACGUGGAUAACCUACCUAUAAGACUGGGAUAACUUCGGGAAACCGUAGCUAAUACCGGAUAAUAUUUUGAACCGCAUGGUUCAAAAGUGAAAGACGGUCUUGCUGUCACUUAUAGAUGGAUCCGCGCUGCAUUAGCUAGUUGGUAAGGUAACGGCUUACCAAGGCAACGAUGCAUAGCCGACCUGAGAGGGUGAUCGGCCACACUGGAACUGAGACACGGUCCAGACUCCUACGGGAGGCAGCAGUAGGGAAUCUUCCGCAAUGGGCGAAGGCCUGACGGAGCAACGCCGCGUGAGUGAUGAAGGUCUUCGGAUCGUAAAACUCUGUUAUUAGGGAAGAACAUAUGCGUAAGUAACUGUGCACAUCUUGACGGUACCUAAUCAGAAAGCCACGGCUAACUACGUG